CACUCCUACGGGAGGCAGCAGUGGGGAAUUUUGGACAAUGGGCGAAAGCCUGAUCCAGCAAUGCCGCGUGUGUGAAGAAGGCCUUCGGGUUGUAAAGCACUUUUGUCCGGAAAGAAAUCCUUGGCUCUAAUACAGUCGGGGGAUGACGGUACCGGAAGAAUAAGCACCGGCUAACUACGUGCCAGCAGCCGCGGUAAUACGUAGGGUGCGAGCGUUAAUCGGAAUUACUGGGCGUAAAGCGUGCGCAGGCGGUUUGCUAAGACCGAUGUGAAAUCCCCGGGCUCAACCUGGGAACUGCAUUGGUGACUGGCAGGCUAGAGUAUGGCAGAGGGGGGUAGAAUUCCACGUGUAGCAGUGAAAUGCGUAGAGAUGUGGAGGAAUACCGAUGGCGAAGGCAGCCCCCUGGGCCAAUACUGACGCUCAUGCACGAAAGCGUGGGGAGCAAACAGGAUUAGAAACCCGAGUAGUCCCAUGAU
RNAcentral lists this ribosomal RNA (476 nucleotides) under uncultured organism. RNAcentral describes it as "partial 16S ribosomal RNA". It matches the Rfam family "Bacterial small subunit ribosomal RNA", at positions 334 to 801 of the family's 1533-position model. The record is from RNAcentral.